This 994-nucleotide unclassified non-coding RNA is filed under the name Hevea brasiliensis (rubber tree). The record is from RNAcentral. Lineage: Eukaryota; Viridiplantae; Streptophyta; Magnoliopsida; Malpighiales; Euphorbiaceae.
UUUUUUUUUUUUUUUAAAUCCAAAAGGCUCAAUCCAAUAUGUUGCUCUGUCAAACCCAUAACGCAUAAUUUGGGCGUGGGUUCCUUAAAGAUCAUAUUCAAUCGAAAAAUUUGAGGGUAAUGGGCCCUAAUUGAGGUUGAGGAUGGAAAAUUGCGUAAGAGCAAGCCCAUGGAAGGAACAGGCAAGAACCAAGCUAUUUUGCUGAUCAUUGAGUCGUUGUGACCGACUUCCAGUAAAACCCGUCCCAGAAGCGAAGUGCCCUUCCAUUGACUGCAAACAAACCAUUCAAAACCCUGCUCAACUUGCACUUCACUCUUAAAGACUUGCUUUCUCUACAAACCUACAUUUUCGCAAAUAUCACGACAUGCUCUCUACGUGUUGCUGGAAAUUAUAACAAGUUGACCUUUUACUCAGAAUAUGAUGGGAUCUUUUAAGUGUUUGAUUUUAUACAUCCACCGCCUAUGACAGCAUAUCCACCAUCGGAAGCUCAUCCAGUACACCCAAGAUCACCAAGUUGCACCACACCAAUUAGUUAUCCCACCAAGGAUGGUCCAGGAUACCUGCAACAAGAUACCCUUGUAGAGGGUGGUGAUGGCUUUCGGAAAAGCUUAACUCCAAAUAUAAAAUAAUACAUAUUAACUUUCAAUUAAAUAUUAAAUUGUAUUUGCUGACUUGCGUUGCAGCAUGUCUUCGAUGUGUGUUCUCUUUCUGAUACCUCAAGCAAGAUGAAUUUUCCAGUGACCUUAUCAAAUUCCAAAGUUAACAUAGAGCCCGUUUCACAUUGAGUUUCAAAACAUUAUAUGAAUUUCCAGCAAUUAAUCUAAAUUAACAAGUUUUUCAAUUAACAAAAUCUCUUUAAAUUCAAAGACACACUGUAAAUUAAAUCAUUUCAAAACCUAAGCUUGGCUCCUCAAACCUCUUCUUGAUUACUUCGGCAGCCGUAACCUUCAUGUCCUUGGUCACUAGCGCUUCAGGACUCACCACAUCCUUCAAA